This 491-nucleotide ribosomal RNA is filed under the name uncultured bacterium. RNAcentral's name for it is "partial 16S ribosomal RNA". It matches the Rfam family "Bacterial small subunit ribosomal RNA", at positions 29 to 506 of the family's 1533-position model. The record is from RNAcentral.
AGCGAACGCUGGCGGUAGGCCUAACACAUGCAAGUCGAACGGCAGCACAGUAAGAGCUUGCUCUUACGGGUGGCGAGUGGCGGACGGGUGAGGAAUACAUCGGAAUCUACUUUUUCGUGGGGGAUAACGUAGGGAAACUUACGCUAAUACCGCAUACGACCUACGGGUGAAAGCAGGGGAUCUUCGGACCUUGCGCGAUUGAAUGAGCCGAUGUCGGAUUAGCUAGUUGGCGGGGUAAAGGCCCACCAAGGCGACGAUCCGUAGCUGGUCUGAGAGGAUGAUCAGCCACACUGGAACUGAGACACGGUCCAGACUCCUACGGGAGGCAGCAGUGGGGAAUAUUGGACAAUGGGCGCAAGCCUGAUCCGGCCAUACCGCGUGGGUGAAGAAGGCCUUCGGGUUGUAAAGCCCUUUUGUUGGGAAAGAAAAGCAGCAGGUUAAUACCCCGCUGUUCUGACGGUACCCAAAGAAUAAGCACCGGCGAACUUCGU